Molecule: long non-coding RNA, 653 nt
Organism: Hyla sarda
Lineage: Eukaryota; Metazoa; Chordata; Amphibia; Anura; Hylidae
Exons: 2
Source: RefSeq, a predicted model, not a curated record
CAAGCGCCAAUCUAAAUCUGACAUUUGCUUAGAACAUACAUUACCCCUAUACAGGGUUGUUGGUGUGUGAUAGCGGGGUGGGAAUCAGCUACAGUAGGACCAGCUUUCUGCUCUAUGGACACAACUAGAACUAUCUAAUAAAUCAUUCUUUACUUAUAGCUCAUAUACUGCGAUAAACUAGCGAUAAACUGUAACAGACUGGAGGAUUUUUUCAGGUAUAUAACAAAAAUUCAAUUCCCAGACUUGAGAUGACAGCUGUUGUAAGUAUACAUGUCUAACAAUAACCAAACAUUGAUAGGAAAUUAAGCAAUAUAUUCUAAAUGAAGGAAGGUACACCGAGAGCAUUUACAAACGACACAACAAAUAGGACAAUGUGAAUGUCCUAUUUAGAAGCAGAUAUAUCUUCAUUUGCUAAACACAAGAACACAUGGCAGUUUGCACACUUGGGAAUGGGAAAUUUUAUUUAACAACAAAUCAGUUUUUUCCGGUCAUGUAGGAGAGUAGUCAUUUAACACACCAAUGUUUAACAGUGCUUCACUGUGUUUUGAUAAAGUAUUGUAUUAACACGUACUUUGUAGUAAAAUGUUGCUAUUAUACAAUUGCCAUAAAUAAUCAUUUUAAUAAAUGAAGGAAACAUACAAGUAUAGUUAUUA